UGACUGAAUCCUGUGAAGGUGCCAUAAGU
RNAcentral lists this non-coding RNA (29 nucleotides) under Rattus norvegicus (Norway rat). Lineage: Eukaryota; Metazoa; Chordata; Mammalia; Rodentia; Muridae. The record is from RNAcentral.